CUAGGACCGCCGUAAUGAUUAAUAGGGAUAGUCGGGGGCAUCAGUAUUCAAUUGUCAGAGGUGAAAUUCUUGGAUUUAUCGAAGACUAACUACUGCGAAAGCAUUUGCCAAGGAUGUUUUCAUUAAUCAGUGAACGAAAGUUAGGGGAUCGAAGACGAUUAUCUGGUCCUCAAUAGUGAAAGCUAGUUACCUCUUCCAGGUAACAACACCAUCAAAUUGCGGGGACCUCCUAAAGAUCAUGCUACACCCCUUUGCUGGAAACGGCCUAGGCUUGUUAAAAUCGUAUGAUAUGAGCUGGUAAUGCCGGCGAAAUGGAUCAUCCGCAGCCAUGUCCUAACAGCGUAUGACCGCUCACGGGCAAGGUCCACAGACUAGACGUUGGUGGAGAGGUCGCCCUAGGCACCUCUUUAAGAUAUAGUCGAUCCUGGGCCGAAAGCCCCAGUGAGUAAACGCAGAUACCGUCGUAGUCUUAACCAUAAACUAUGCCGACUAGGGAUCGGCCGAUGUUAUCUUUUUGACUCGCUCGGCACCUUACGAGAAAUCACAGUCUUUGGGUUCUGGGGGGAGUAUGGUCGCAAGGCUGAAACUUA
Molecule: ribosomal RNA, 590 nt
Filed under: uncultured Hyphodiscus
Lineage: Eukaryota; Fungi; Ascomycota; Leotiomycetes; Helotiales; Hyaloscyphaceae
Description: partial 18S ribosomal RNA
Rfam family: Eukaryotic small subunit ribosomal RNA
Source: RNAcentral